GAGCGAGCCCACGGUCUGCCGACGCGGGGCCAGCGGCGGGCCCCAGGAUCCGGAGCUUCGGGCGGGGCCGAGUCCAGCGCCUACCAUGUGUCUGGCAAGGGAGGUGUAACAGUGAGAAAAACUAGGUGUGGUCCAGGCCCUCCAGGGGCUCAGGGGCUCGUGGAAGAAGUGGACAUUGAAGUACUUACCACACAAAUGAGCAUGAAAGUACAAUAGCAAUAUCUGCCACGAAGCUGUUGUUCCCCACCAGAACCAAAUGAGCGCAAGAUCUGACAAAGAAAAAAAAAGGUUCAUCUUUUAUUCCGCCAAACACUUUCAUCUAAAUCAAGAGGGUGGGAUGUGGUUAUUGCUGUGUUUUUAGACAGAAUCAACAGUUUCUGGGUCUGAGAUAUUGCAUACACCCUCUCAGUCCCUGUAUCCUCAGAUGGAGUCACCUGAGAAUCCACAGCAAGUCCUAACCGGGGAUGGGUCUGGGUGGUUAAGGAAGGUUGGCCUCAGAACUGGGCCAGGGGCACUGCUUUGCUUUUGCUGUUUUGAUCAGCUCUCUGCCCGCAGGAGACAAGGAAAACCAAUGGGAACAGCUGGGGAAACUGAGUUACAGAGCUUGUCUACACUGAGUCAACAGGAGCAAAUGCUAGAUCAGAUAGGAUCUCUCUCUCUCUGCCACCCAGGCCAGAGCGCAGUUGAUGCAGGUCAGGGGAGCCCCCCAGUGGAGCAUAGUGUGUCCAGAACUGGUGGGUUGUUGGUCUCACUGACUUCAAGAAUGAAGCCACGGACCCUCGGGAAACUCCUGGAGGGCAGAGCCAUGCCUGCCAUUUUCAUCAUUGCAUUACCACCACCCAGCAC
Molecule: long non-coding RNA, 846 nt
Filed under: Homo sapiens (human)
Lineage: Eukaryota; Metazoa; Chordata; Mammalia; Primates; Hominidae
Description: long intergenic non-protein coding RNA 2614
Source: RNAcentral